Molecule: ribosomal RNA, 348 nt
Filed under: uncultured bacterium
Lineage: Bacteria
Description: partial 16S ribosomal RNA
Rfam family: Bacterial small subunit ribosomal RNA
Source: RNAcentral
CCUACGGGAGGCUGCAGUGGGGGAUAUUGCACAAUGGGGGAAACCCUGAUGCAGCGACGCCGCGUGGGUGAAGAAGAGCCUCGGCGCGUAAAGCCCUGUCAGCAGGGAAGAAAAGGACGGUACAUGAAGAAGAAGCCCCGGCUAACGACGUGCCAGCAGCCGCGGUAAUACGUAGGGGGCAAGCGUUAUCCGGAUUUACUGGGUGGAAAGGGGGCGCAGCCGGCGAUGCAAGCCAGGAGGGAAAGCCCGGGGCCCAACCCCGGGACUGCUCUUGGAACUGCGUGGCUAGAGUGCAGGAGGGGCAGGCGGCAUUCCUGGUGUAGCUGUUCACUGCCUAGAUAUCAGGCG